UCAAGACUGACGCUCAUGCACGAAAGCGUGGGAGCAAACAGGAUUAGAUACCCUGGUAGUCCACGCCCUAAACGAUGUCUACUAGUUGUCGGGUCUUAAUUGACUUGGUAACGCAGCUAACGCGUGAAGUAGACCGCCUGGGGGAGUACGGUCGCAAGAUUAAAACUCAAAGGAAUUGACGGGGACCCGCACAAGCGGUGGAUGAUGUGGAUUAAUUCGAUGCAACGCGAAAAACCUUACCUACCCUUGACAUGGCAGGAAUCCCGGAGAGAUUUGGGAGUGCUCGAAAGAGAACCUGCACACAGGUGCUGCAUGGCUGUCGUCAGCUCGUGUCGUGAGAUGUUGGGUUAAGUCCCGCAACGAGCGCAACCCUUGUCAUUAGUUGCUACGAAAGAGCACUCUAAUGAGACUGCCGGUGACAAACCGGAGGAAGGUGGGGAUGACGUCAAGUCCUCAUGGCCCUUAUGGGUAGGGCUUCACACGUCAUACAAUGGUACAUACAGAGGGCCGCCAACCCGCGAGGGGGAGCUAAUCCCAGAAAGUGUAUCGUAGUCCGGAUUGUAGUCUGCAACUCGACUGCAUGAAGUUGGAAUCGCUAGUAAUCGCGGAUCAGCAUGUCGCGGUGAAUACGUUCCCGGGUCUUGUACACACCGCCCGUCACACC
Molecule: ribosomal RNA, 664 nt
Filed under: uncultured bacterium
Lineage: Bacteria
Description: bacterial SSU rRNA
Rfam family: Bacterial small subunit ribosomal RNA
Source: RNAcentral